GCGUUUAGGAUGAAGUCAGUCGUGACUAGGCACUCCAAACAGGCACACUAAACUAUUAAUCGUUAUAUCUCCCAUUAUAUUCCAAGGAACUUUUAUAUUUUAAGAAAAGUUUAACAAAUUAUCAGAAGUAGAAUAUUACACGGGAAAACAAACGUGUGUUUGAAACGGAUGCAAAUUUUGCGAAACUCAUUACAUUACAGAUAGUGUGCAAGAAAAUGAUUGAAAUGGUAAAAUCAUUUCGCCGGUAAUUAGUAUACCGUAUUGUUAAUAGUAUGGUGUAUUGACAUUCGGAUAAUUGUACAAAGCGUAUAGAUAUGGUUAAAUAAUUAUAAAUAAGAGAAGUGAACGAUGUGGAAGAAACUUUUCAACGAUAGGAAUACGCCAAGGGUUAAACAAAGUAAGCAAAUAAAAUCUACUGUGUCUACAACAACUAACAAAUGUCAAUGUCAUUAGAGGACACCAAUCAAUAGACAGUGUGUGAAAAAGUAACGACAAAGCUAUAGAUAUACCGAACAAAGAGAGAAACAACACUUCAGAAAGCAAAAAAUUAUGGAAAGUACGGUAAAUGCUGGAAAUUCUAGAUAAUACAAAAUUAUCGACAUUCCACUGAAAUAAAGCUAAUCACGAUAUUGAGUGUUAAAUUAAAAAAAUCCAUGAAUAUGUGAUUCUAAAUGGGUAGGAAGAUUUGACUUUGAAUUAUUAUGCAUUGACUAGAUGAAGAAGAGUGGAUAAAAAGUGAUGUGGUAAUAUUCUACCGAGUUAAUGAUUAAUUGCAUAAAGAUACAUUAAAAAUAUAAGACACGUGUUAUAGCACUACUUCGAGAAGUUACUAAUAUUACAGCAGGCAUAUCAGGAGAAAUUAGUCGAAUGGAUAAUUGAGGAAAUCAGAAACAUACGAUUUCGAGACUAUUUAGAAUUUGUUUCAAGUGAAAUAUCAAACCGGCGUUUUGAUCAUGAAUCAUUCUUAGAGUGAACACCAGUGACUCGACCAAAUAGAUUAAAAAGCAGAAAAUCUGUGCAGAGGCCGUAUAAUGAUGAUUAAUCUCAAACUGUUUAGUAACAAAUGAAGAUAAGCGUAUGUCACAAAUCGUAUUGUACUGAAAGAUGUUAACGCCAAACUUUUACAAAUAAAAUCAAUCGAGAUGAACAAAACAUUCGCCGAGAUAACGAAUUUGACAUUUGUACAAUACGAACAAUAUACUAUCAAAAACGAAAGGAGCAAGAAAUAAUACAACUGAUGAAAAUCAGCAUUAUGAAAAAAAAGUAAAUCUCCAUUAUCAUGAUCAUUUUGUCAAAGUUGCCAAGAAAGAAAUUCAUGUGGGUGACUUACGAAUAGAUUACCGAGUGAUUGAUAAUAUUAUACGUCGUUCGCUUUGUUAGACCAUUUAUUAUGUUAAUCUAUCGUCAAUCGAACUUGUGAUAAGUGCAUAUCCCUACCGUCUCCAUUUAAAUUACAAGUAUUUGCAUAUGAAAUAUAACAAAAUACGGUGUAAUAUCUUAAACUGUUUCGACUUUAUUCUCGAUAUUGCCGUAGCGGUCAUUACAUGUUCUAUUUUCUUAUGUUUAUAUAACUGAUCAAAUUCAAUGUCUAAGGGCUUAUUGCUUUCAACGUGAUAUAAAUUUCUGUAGAAUUCAUAAGUUAUUUCAGGACGUAAAUCGUCAUAAAUGCAGCUUCUAACGAAAACUUUAUUUAUAGAUAUACUCUAGCAUUAUAUAAUAGAUUGAAAAUUUUCCUUUAGUUCAUCAUGAUCUCUUUUCACAAGUAUUGGUCUGAUAUUCAGAAUUUUUUCACUACUUCGUAGCAUAGUAGCGAACCAUAUCGGUACUAAUAGUUGUUUUUAACACAGACAGACAAACCAAUGUUGUUUCAAUGUAAUUCUGAAUAGGAUUAUCAUUGAUCCGUCAUUAAUGAAACUUUCAUUGUUCUUCUGAUAAUCUAUAUCAUAGCUGAAUUCAUCAACCGAAUAUGUACUCAGGGAUUCAUAUUCUUUCUUUAUCUAAUCAGCUCAAGCGAAUUUAACAGACAGAUUUAAUCGUAAUAUGAAAAUCGAUAUAGCUGACAUGAAAAUGUUUCGACCUUCAAAUAUUUGUCAAUGUCUCCAAUUCGAUGAUAGUUUGAUUCUCCUUAGUUGUUAUCCUAUUAAUCUAUGAAAUUCAGUCUUGAGUAUAUUUCAAUACCCAUUCAGGAGUUAUAAAUUCUCAAUAUUUAAUACAUAAUUUUUCAGAAUCGGAUAAAUGUCCCUACGUAUAUUGAAAUAUUUUCUCUUGUGCUUUGUCUCAAUAAUAUUUGAUGUUUUCCUCUUCUAAUUCGUUUGAAUAGUUAGUCAGAUCAAUGACACUACGAAUUGAUUUCGUACCCCCAAAUAAUGGCUAAACUCUUGAAUAAUUAAACUUUCAUUCUCACAGAGUCAUGUGCACUGAUUUCAAAUCAUAUCUUCGUUUUCAACUAAUACUGCAGGAUAUGCCUCUUAAUCUGGUUUAAGCUUCAUUAUAAUAUCGUAUUUUGAUGUUGUCAAGAUUUUUUAAUUUGCCAGAAUGAAUUUGUGGUAAGAGCUAGUAUUUUGAAAUUAAGCUUUGUAAUGGAAUUAUUGGAUUAUUAUAUGCUAAAAUAUUUCCCCUGCAGCAAAACGGAUAGUUUAUGUUUAAAAAAAACAUUUUUGUACUUUCAUUUUUCGAAGAAUAGAUCAACCAUUCGCUUUACUCCGAAUCAUAGGUGACUGUUAAUUGAAAAACCUUGAUAAUUUCCAUUUUAUAACGGUGUAUACGUAAUGAAUUAUUGUUUUAUUAAGAGAUAAUUUAACACGAUAUGAAAGAUUC
Long non-coding RNA from Vespula pensylvanica (western yellowjacket), 2817 nucleotides. RefSeq lists it as uncharacterized. The transcript has 4 exons. NCBI's taxonomy places the organism in Eukaryota, Metazoa, Arthropoda, Insecta, Hymenoptera, Vespidae. The record is from RefSeq and is a predicted model, not a curated record.